RNAcentral lists this small nucleolar RNA (107 nucleotides) under Brassica napus (rape). RNAcentral's name for it is "Plant small nucleolar RNA R71". It matches the Rfam family "Plant small nucleolar RNA R71". Rfam says of the family: R71 is a member of the C/D box family of snoRNAs containing the C (UGAUGA) and D (CUGA) box motifs. Multiple nearly identical copies of this snoRNA have been identified in Arabidopsis, and it is thought to function as a 2'-O-ribose methylation guide for 18S ribosomal RNA. The record is from Rfam by way of RNAcentral. Lineage: Eukaryota; Viridiplantae; Streptophyta; Magnoliopsida; Brassicales; Brassicaceae.
AACUCGUGAUGAGGACACUCUCUGAGGGUAUCACUGAACCGUUCCCACACUUCGUUGAAAGGUUUAUUAGCGAGUUGCUUGAAGGAGGAGAUCUUGUUCCUUAGGGC